RNAcentral lists this ribosomal RNA (253 nucleotides) under uncultured bacterium. RNAcentral describes it as "partial 16S ribosomal RNA". It matches the Rfam family "Bacterial small subunit ribosomal RNA", at positions 524 to 776 of the family's 1533-position model. The record is from RNAcentral.
UACGUAGGGGGCAAGCGUUGUUCGGAAUUACUGGGCGUAAAGCGCGCGUAGGCGGUUUGGAAAGUCAGAUGUGAAAGCCCCGGGCUCAACUUGGGAACUGCAUUUGAUACUGCCAGACUAGAGUACAGAAGGGGUGACUGGAAUUCCCAGUGUAGCGGUGAAAUGCGUAGAUAUUGGGAGGAACACCAGAUGCGAAGGCGGGUCACUGGGCUGAUACUGACGCUGAUGCGCGAAAGCCAGGGGAGCGAACGGG